GACGAACCGUGCGAACGUUAUUCGGAAUCACUGGGCUUAAAGCGCGUGUAGGCGGACGGGGACGUCGGUUGCUGAAAUCCCCCGGCUCAACCGGGGAACGGGCACCGAAACGCCCCGUCUCGAGGGACGUAGGGGGACCUGGAACUUCCGGUGGAGCGGUGAAAUGCGUUGAGAUCGGAAGGAACGCCCGUGGCGAAAGCGAGGUCCUGGACGUUUUCUGACGCUGAGACGCGAAAGCUAGGGUAGCGAACGGG
This 254-nucleotide ribosomal RNA is filed under the name uncultured bacterium. RNAcentral describes it as "partial 16S ribosomal RNA". It matches the Rfam family "Bacterial small subunit ribosomal RNA", at positions 524 to 776 of the family's 1533-position model. The record is from RNAcentral.